Molecule: ribosomal RNA, 41 nt
Filed under: Scedosporium boydii
Lineage: Eukaryota; Fungi; Ascomycota; Sordariomycetes; Microascales; Microascaceae
Also listed under: 15 other names
Description: partial 18S ribosomal RNA
Source: RNAcentral
UAACAAGGUCUCCGUUGGUGAACCAGCGGAGGGAUCAUUAC